UGGUCUGACAUUGAAAACCGAAACCAGGAAAAAGAGAAAGAGAGAGAGAGAGCGAGAUUUGAUUGAGCCCUGUUUAGGAGGGAAAAUCCCCUCACCAUUUAAGACCCCUCCCCAUCCAUCUAAAUGCCGCUACAGCAACUGAGACUCAUUACUCCCUCCCCACCCACUUGAAGUUAGCGCACAUAAAACUCCAUUGGAGCCCAGCUCCCUCACAGUAGUGACUCCACAGAGUGAGAGAGAGACACAGGGAGAGAGAAGUGGGGAAGAAUGUUCGCAGCUGAGAACGGGCUGAGAGGAGACCCCAGGCUCCAGGCCAUCUCUCGGGCCAUCCGGGUCGUCCCCGACUUCCCCAAGCCAGGGAUCAUGUUCCAAGACAUAACGACGCUGUUGCUGGAUCACAAGGCGUUCAAGGACACGGUGGACAUCUUCGUUGACCGGUACCGUGACAUGGACAUCUCUGUCGUUGCAGGGGUAGAAGCCAGAGGAUUCAUGUUUGGUCCGGCAAUUGCAUUAGCUAUCGGCGCAAAGUUUGUUCCUUUGCGUAAGCCCAGGAAGUUGCCAGGUGAAGUAAUAUCAGAAUCUUACGUCUUGGAGUAUGGAACUGACUGUCUCGAAAUGCAUGUGGGUGCUGUUGAGCCCGGGGAGCGUGCAAUAGUGAUCGAUGAUUUGGUAGCCACAGGUGGGACCUUGUCUGCUGCCAUAAAACUUUUGGAACGAGUUGGGGCUGAAGUAGUUGAAUGUGCUUGUGUUAUUGGCUUGCCUGAGGUCAAGGAUCGCCGCCGGAUUAGGGGGAAGCCACUUUAUAUUCUCGUGGAGCCUCGGCUAUUAGAUGAAUGCCGUUGAGCUUUCUAGUCAAAGGUCGUGCUUGGGUUGAUGAAGAGAAAUGUGAUGCUUGAGCUGCAAUGGUUAGUGAAGAGUGGAUUCUCUGCCCCACCUGGGUCAAAUGCAUCUUGUCCUCUGCUCCAGAUAUCUUUAGUUUGUGCACCGUUUCAUUUGUAGUUCUGAACAAAUUAUCAUUAGGAAUACCCUCAGCGGGUCUUGUUUUUUUUUUUUCUAUGUUUUUAUGU
Molecule: RNA transcript, 1067 nt
Organism: Rhodamnia argentea
Lineage: Eukaryota; Viridiplantae; Streptophyta; Magnoliopsida; Myrtales; Myrtaceae
Gene name: adenine phosphoribosyltransferase 5-like
Exons: 8
Source: RefSeq, a predicted model, not a curated record